GUCAAGCAAUAAGCCAUCAGCUAUUUUCAAGGUUUUAUAUGUUAUAUAAAUAUAUAUUUCUGGCCAUCUAGGCACAGUAUCUUCAUAGACUGUAGUGCUCAGCUCAUAUUGGUAUUUAAUAGUCACCUUGCGGUGAACCAGUCACCGAAAUGCAAGACAUUGCCAUGGAUGAAGAAGAUGCAGGGGCACCACUAUCACAACAGGAAGUCAGCUCGACACAACAGCACGCUGCAUCUCAAGGCUUCCUCUUCCGCAUCACUGAGCCAGAUAAAAACGCUGCAUUCAGGCACCACCAACGCUAAACACACACACUCACCUGCCAGAGCUCUUUUUUUUACGGUUCUUCUUGCAACUGGCUGUGGCAUCGUACCCUCAUAAGUGCAGUCUUCUCAGAGAACUUUGCCAAACCUGUUGUUAAAGGACUAAUUGUAAAGAUUUCCCCUUGGCUUGUCCUUUGC
Myxocyprinus asiaticus (Chinese sucker) is the source of this 458-nucleotide long non-coding RNA. RefSeq lists it as uncharacterized. Lineage: Eukaryota; Metazoa; Chordata; Actinopteri; Cypriniformes; Catostomidae. The transcript has 4 exons. The record is from RefSeq and is a predicted model, not a curated record.